UGGGGAAUCUUGCACAAUGGGGGAAACCCUGAUGCAGCGACGCCGCGUGAACGAUGAAGCCCUUCGGGGUGUAAAGUUCUUUCGACAGGAACGAUAAUGACGGUACCUGGAGAAGAAGCUGCGGCUAACUACGUGCCAGCAGCCGCGGUAAUACGUAGGCAGCGAGCGUUGGUCGGAGUUACUGGGCGUAAAGAGUGCGUAGGCGGCGAGCCAAGUUUGGUGUGAAAUCUCCCGGCUUAACCGGGAGGGUGCGCCGAAAACUGGUUGGCUGGAGUAUGGGAGAGGAAAGCGGAAUUCCUGGUGUAGCGGUGAAAUGCGUAGAUAUCAGGAGGAACACCUGCGGUGUAGACAGCUUUCUGGACCAAAACUGACGCUGAGGCACGAAAGCGUGGGUAGCAAACA
Molecule: ribosomal RNA, 402 nt
Filed under: uncultured bacterium
Lineage: Bacteria
Description: bacterial SSU rRNA
Rfam family: Bacterial small subunit ribosomal RNA
Source: RNAcentral